Molecule: RNA transcript, 4480 nt
Organism: Notolabrus celidotus (New Zealand spotty)
Lineage: Eukaryota; Metazoa; Chordata; Actinopteri; Labriformes; Labridae
Gene: cdc14b
Gene name: cell division cycle 14B
Exons: 17
Source: RefSeq, a predicted model, not a curated record
GAGAUCAUUUUUAGCAGAGUGCGCACUUGUGCUGGAAACUCUCCUCUCUCCGAGUGCCAACUUUCUCGUCUCGAAGAGCUUAAUAAGGACGUUUUUAUGACCUUAUUCUUUUAAGAUAUAACUCUUAAAUUACUUUUUAAAUAUCUGCGCCACCUAUCUUUGUGAGUUUAACUCAGUAUGCGCUUUACCUCGUGAAGAAGAUAAAUCCUGUACGUUUGCCCGCAAAACAUCAUGUUCAGAAAUGUGGGAAAGAUGACCGCGGACGAUAUUUCGUCAAGAUGCAUUGAGUUUGCCAAAGAUCAGUUAUAUUUCGCCAUACUAAAGCAGAAGAUCAAGAGCACAGCCGAGAGACACUGUUUCUGCAUAGAUGAAGAGCUGGCAUAUGAGAACUUCUAUGCGGACUUUGGUCCCCUUAACCUGGCCAUGUUUUAUCGCUUCUGUUGCAAGCUGACAAAGAAGCUAAAGUCCAUCACAAUUUCAAGAAAGAAGAUUAUAUUUUACACAUGUGGGGAUCAGAAGAAACAAGUCAAUGCUGCCUACCUGAUUGGCUCAUAUGCAGUAAUGAAUCUAAACAUGUUACCAGAAGAGGCCUACAGUCUGCUGGUGUCAAGGAACUCAACUUUUAUUCCAUUCAGAGAUGCCUCGUUUGGAACCUGCAUGUACAAUCUGAACAUCCUGGACUGCCUCCGUGCUGUUCACAAGGCUCUACAGUAUGGCUGGCUCGACUUCUCCAACUUUGACGUGGAGGAAUACGAGCACUACGAGAGGGCGGAAAAUGGAGACUUCAACUGGAUCAUUCCAGGAAAGUUCCUUGCUUUCAGUGGGCCUCAUCCAAAAAGCAAAAUAGAGAAUGGGUACCCUUUGCACGCUCCCGAGGCCUACAUCCCGUACUUCAGGAACCACAACAUCACAGCCGUCGUCAGACUCAACAAGAAGAUGUAUGAUGCCAGACGGUUCACAGAGUCUGGCUUUGAGCAUCACGAUCUGUUCUUUGUGGACGGGAGUACACCAAAUGAUUCCAUUGUUAGGAAGUUCCUCAACAUCUGUGAGAACGCAGAAGGAGCCAUUGCUGUACACUGCAAAGCUGGCCUGGGGAGGACUGGCACUCUGAUUGGCUGCUACAUGAUGAAACAUUACCGCAUGACUGCUGCAGAGGUCAUUGCCUGGAUACGGAUCUGCCGACCAGGGUCCAUUAUUGGACCUCAGCAGAACUUUGUUGAAGCAAAACAGAACAACCUGUGGGCAGAGGGUGAUAUUUUCCGGGAGAAGAUGCUGAAUGAACGAGAGAAUGGAAAGAUGGCCGUGACCAGGAUCCUGUCCGGAGUGGACGAUAUCACCAUCAAUGGGAGCAACAAGAACAGAGCAUCCAAGAAGGAAGAAGUGGAACUGUAUAAUGAUGAGGACGAGAGAAACGGUCUCACACAGGGUGAUAAACUGCGAGCUCUGAAGAGCAAGAGACAGUCCAGAUCCUCCACAGGCUCACUAUCGCAGGUGGUAGUGUUCUGCUGCAGCCUCAUGGGCACGGUGUGGCCGAUGUGUUGCCUGCCGUUCAAAAGAUAGCAGAGAGGCAGAGAGAGAGAGAGAGAAAGAGAGAGGGGGAGAGGAUGUGAGGUUUUGUAUGAUGGAGGUAAGUGCACAUCACUUCCUUUCAAGCUGACAUCCUCUUCCUGUAGAUAAUGGUUGCUAUGCCAGAGAAUGGUAUGGCUGACUUGAAGUUUUUGUUCCUUUUCUUUUAUUUCUUUCCUUGGAUGACUCUGGUGUGAAGUGGAUAUGCACUUAAUGGAUGCUAUACAUUUGACACGCCUUUCAUUAUCUGCCUCUCAUGGACUCGCUGAGCUGUUUGCUUUGAUAUCAGGGCUUAUCUGAGAUACCCUCAGAGUUACAGUGUCUCAAGCUGAGCCUACUGUACAUGUUAAAUACUGCAGCAAUGAUUCAACUAAUCACAGUUUCAUGUGAGAUCUGGAUAGUUGAAUUUACUACUUUAGUGCUUGGCUUGCAUCAAUGAUUUUGGGACUAUUACAAAAUAAAAUUGUUAGGUAAACCAGGAAAGUAUUAGGUGCUAUGGAAGUGUUUAAUAAUCAUUCUAAACAAGCUUUAUCUAGUUGUUUUAAUAAGUUAAAUAUGCAGCAUUAAAUAGCAUUAUUGGGAUGGUACAGUCUACAUUAUCUGGACUGAAAUAUACAAUUGAAAACGUGAGCUUCUGGGGUCACAGGGAGGAAAAUGGUCUCUCCAUUCUGAGGAGAGAGUUGAGGCAGAAAGGAGAUUUGCUUGCACUUUAAGCCUUAUCAGUUAAUGCAUUGCUACACAAACAUCUAACAUCCAGCAGAAUUCACCAUCUGGCUCCACUGUUUGUUUUAUUUUGUAACACAGAGGUGCAUGUUAGAAUUCCUGAGAACAUUAUACAGGGGGGAAAAAGUUUCUGUAUCUUUUCUGCCUUUUCAUGCAUGGCAACCUGGCAACAGGCAUGAAACCCUUCGACAUGCACGCAUGGACAUGCCUCUAUGUUUGAUCUCUGUUUGUGUCUAACAUGUUGUUAAUGUUGACCCGGGUUCAUCGUCAAUUGCCUGUUGUUUUUCCAUUGCUUUCUGUGACUGGAUCAGUGUACACAUACCAUCAGAGCAGAUGUUAAUGUUAAGUAAGUACCAGAGCUUGACUGACAUUGGUAAUCAAUCUCUUUUAUAAAUGUAUUUAAAGUGAUGACGCAUUUUCUUUUGUAUAGUGUUGUUUUUAAUAAUAAUUAUGGUGUCAGCAACUGAAACAACUUAAAAUGUGAUAUAUAAUUUCUAUUUUAAGUAUCCAUUUGUUUCCUUAGCAAACCACAAAAAUCUGCUAUACUUUCAAUAACUCUUUAUUUUUCCAAAAGUUUCUAUGACAUGUUUUAUUAAUCAGUAUAUUAUCAGCCCUUUUUGAACUCUCAUUUAUCCCUACGUACUUAAAAACUCCCACACUGCUCAGGCUCUAAGUAUAGAGCAAAGUGCUAACACAUCAGAGCUAGUGAAGGACAAAAACUUGCUGACUGGCGCUCUAUGAAAGGUAUUCCAUCUAAUCCAGUCCCAGUGGAAAAGCAGAACAUCAGAGGCUUUGUGUCCUGCCUGGACGUCUCUUGUCUCUCCUUUCUUUUUUUCCCCCUUUUUUUUCGUUUGCUCUUGUUGUUGGAUUUGUCCUCCUUUCAGAUGGCUGGUAGCCAUGCUGCUCUCCUCCCUGUGUAGCCUUGCCCUGUGGUGGAUUGUGUAUGGCUUCCCUUCUUCCAUCCUGCAUUUCUGUAUAGACGGGUUAGGAUUUCAAUGAGUUCUACCGUCCGUCAGCCCCCCCAAAAACCUGUCCUGCCCCCCUUCUGGAGUUCUAACUGAGAAUGCUACAAGAGGAGAAUAAGAUUCACACCAGGUCAUCAUCACAGUCCCUAAGCGCUGUCAUCCUGCAGGCCAGUGUUCAGGGCUGUAAAGCCGGCGUCACCCCUCUGGCACUCUCUGACCACUCAGACAGCAGGAAGAGGAGCAGAACCUCGCUGCCAGCCAGAGGAGGAAGCUCCCUGUGCCACACCAGACUGGUCAGGUCUCUAGGAAACUUGCAUGUAGUGGCUGGCGACAGAGACCCAAUGUGUUGUGAGCCAUGUGGCAGCCAUAGAGACACAGCCAGUACCACAGCAAACACAGGCCACCUCAUCAACUUAAAUAUGGCACAGAUCCACCUGCAGACGCACUGUCUCCAGAGGACGUAAAGCUCGCAGCUCUUUGCAAACACUUCGAUUUUCCAGGCUAUGUCACUCCAUACCCAAGGCUAGAGCUCCUAUUCUACGGUGAGCCCAUAGAUCUGGAAACUGGAAUUUUGGAGGAAUCCAAAUUCUGCACAGCAAAGCCACUCUGUUCAUGGAUUUUUAAUUUGGUAAAAUGUUAGAACAAACUUUAACCAACAUACUGUGACAUGUAAACCAUUUAUGAAUUGUUUGAUUACAAGUUAUAUGGCUCUUAAAGCACUUUGGUUUUUAUAUUUUUAACGACGCAUCAUGUAACAGUUCUAAUCAUUGCCUUGUUCCUUCUUAUCAAAGCAUGCAGUAGCAAAUGUCUGACUGGCAUGUGAAUCUGAGUCGUCUGCAGCAGACACUCUGGAUUAUCAGAGGGGAGAUUCACAUUCAGUUUGAAACAUUUAGAGACCAUUUGGCCAGGAGGUUGGAAUAUAGCCCAACUCUUGGCCUUCCACCAAAAGAUACAAUACUGUGUACAUUUAUACCUCCAUCCAAUACCUGGCUUGUCUUAUUUACUUUUGAAGCUUUUCAGCUCCUGUAUUUCAAGAUUGUAAAUAUGUUGACAUUUGAUAUACCCAGUUUGUAUUUUUUAAAUAUUUUGUACUAUGUUUGAAUCAUGUAAUGAAAUGUCAGCGGUCCUAAUGGGGCCUUGUCUCAAAUCAUGUUCAUAAUCCACUCAAAACAUUUGCUUAAAGCACACAGAACCAGACUUUUUAAAUAAAACUAUACUUCAAAAGA